Molecule: ribosomal RNA, 440 nt
Filed under: uncultured bacterium
Lineage: Bacteria
Description: partial 16S ribosomal RNA
Rfam family: Bacterial small subunit ribosomal RNA
Source: RNAcentral
CCUACGGGAGGCAGCAGUAGGGAAUAUUGCUCAAUGGGGGAAACCCUGAAGCAGCAACGCCGCGUGGAGGAUGAAGGUUUUCGGAUUGUAAACUCCUUUUGUUAGAGAAGAUAAUGACGGUAUCUAACGAAUAAGCACCGGCUAACUCCGUGCCAGCAGCCGCGGUAAUACGGAGGGUGCAAGCGUUACUCGGAAUCACUGGGCGUAAAGAGCGCGUAGGCGGGAUAGUAAGUCAGAUGUGAAAUCCUAGGGCUUAACCAUAGAACUGCAUUUGAAACUGUUAUUCUAGAGUAUGGGAGAGGUAGGUGGAAUUCUUGGUGUAGGGGUAAAAUCCGUAGAGAUCAAGAGGAAUACUCAUUGCGAAGGCGACCUGCUAGAACAUAACUGACGCUGAUGCGCGAAAGCGUGGGGAGCAAACAGGAUUAGAUACCCGGGUAGUC